GACGAACGCUGGCGGCGCGCUUAACACAUGCAAGUCGAACGUGAAGCCGGGGCUUGCCCCGGUGGAAAGUGGCGAACGGGUGCGUAACACGUGAGCAACCUGCCCCGAAGACUGGGGUAACACCGGGAAACCGGUGCUAAUACCGGAUGCCCUCUUCUGAUCGCAUGGUCGGAUGAGGAAAUGGAUUCCGCUUCGGGAUGGGCUCGCGGCCUAUCAGCUUGUUGGUGAGGUAACGGCCCACCAAGGCGACGACGGGUAGCUGGUCUGAGAGGACGACCAGCCACACUGGGACUGAGACACGGCCCAGACUCCUACGGGAGGCAGCAGGUGGGGAAUCUUGCUCAAUGGGCGAAAGCCUGAAGCAGCGACGCCGCGUGCGGGAUGAAGGCCCUCGGGUUGUAAACCGCUUUCAGCAGGGACGAAAUUGAC
This 429-nucleotide ribosomal RNA is filed under the name uncultured bacterium. RNAcentral describes it as "bacterial SSU rRNA". It matches the Rfam family "Bacterial small subunit ribosomal RNA", at positions 28 to 455 of the family's 1533-position model. The record is from RNAcentral.